RNAcentral lists this ribosomal RNA (614 nucleotides) under uncultured bacterium. RNAcentral's name for it is "bacterial SSU rRNA". The stretch from base 1 to 526 matches the Rfam family "Bacterial small subunit ribosomal RNA", at positions 338 to 873 of the family's 1533-position model. The record is from RNAcentral.
CCUACGGGAGGCAGCAGUGGGGAAUAUUGCACAAUGGGCGCAAGCCUGAUGCAGCGACGCCGCGUGGGGGAUGAAGGCCUUCGGGUUGUAAACCCCUUUCAGCAGGGAAGAAGCGAAAGUGACGGUACCUGCAGAAGAAGCGCCGGCUAACUACGUGCCAGCAGCCGCGGUAAUACGUAGGGCGCAAGCGUUGUCCGGAAUUAUUGGGCGUAAAGAGCUCGUAGGCGGUUUGUCGCGUCUGCUGUGAAAGUCCGAGGCUCAACCUCGGAUCUGCAGUGGGUACGGGCAGACUAGAGUGUGGUAGGGGAGACUGGAAUUCCUGGUGUAGCGGUGGAAUGCGCAGAUAUCAGGAGGAACACCAAUGGCGAAGGCAGGUCUCUGGGCCACAACUGACGCUGAGGAGCGAAAGCAUGGGGAGCGAACAGGAUUAGAUACCCUGGUAGUCCAUGCGUAACGGUAGGCGACUAGAUGUGGGUCGUCUUCCUACUGUAGUUCCGUCGUCGCNGCGACGCGAGUAGUGCCCGCCGCGGGAGGUAACGGUCCGCGAGACGUAAACGUUACGAAGUAGAGUUGACGGCGNGAGACGNGCCGACGGACGACGACGAGGGAGGAGG